Olea europaea var. sylvestris is the source of this 486-nucleotide long non-coding RNA. RefSeq lists it as uncharacterized. NCBI's taxonomy places the organism in Eukaryota, Viridiplantae, Streptophyta, Magnoliopsida, Lamiales, Oleaceae. The transcript has 2 exons. The record is from RefSeq and is a predicted model, not a curated record.
UUAGUUAGUUUUAACUAACUUGACAUGUUGACCUGUUCUCUAGGGUUAUGCACUAAUUGAAUAUGAGAACUUUGAGGAAGCACAGAAAGCUAUAAGUGAAAUGGAUGGGACGGAACUGCUCACCCAGGCCAUAACUGUUGAUUGGGCAUUCAGCAAAGGUCCGUUCAGGAGCAGGAAUAUGAGGAGGAGAUCACCUCGCGGCCAUCGUUCUAGAAGUCCUAGGAGGAGAUUCUAAUGGUGUUAGCGGCUUCUCAAGGAUAGUGGAUUUCUAGUGUCUAGAAACAGUUCUGAUAGUUGUGGAUCAAUGCUAAAAUUUAACCAUGUAUUGUUGUUUUUGACAAGGAUUUGUAUUUCCUUUCUCCAUGAUAUUUAUAACUUAUCUUCGAUUAUAUGUUACUGCUAAUGGAUUGUCAAGUAUUUGCUCUUUACAUUGAGCUUUUGAUUCGGAUGGGAGCCUGGUGUGGCGUAAAGCAUGUAUUCUGUUCA